RNAcentral lists this ribosomal RNA (253 nucleotides) under uncultured bacterium. Its description in RNAcentral is "partial 16S ribosomal RNA". It matches the Rfam family "Bacterial small subunit ribosomal RNA", at positions 524 to 776 of the family's 1533-position model. The record is from RNAcentral.
UACGGAGGGUGCAAGCGUUAUCCGGAUUCACUGGGUUUAAAGGGUGCGUAGGCGGACAGGUAAGUCAGUGGUGAAAUCUCCGAGCUUAACUCGGAAACUGCCUUUGAUACUCUCUGUCUUGAAUAUGGUGGAGGUAAGCGGAAUAUGUCAUGUAGCGGUGAAAUGCUUAGAUAUCGAGAGGAACACCUGCGGCGAAGGCGGGUUGCUGGGCCGACACUGACGCUGAGGCGCGAAAGCCAGGGGAGCGAACGGG